AUGGGCACUCUAGGGUGACUGCCGGUGACAAACCGGAGGAAGGUGGGGAUGACGUCAAAUCAUCAUGCCCCUUAUGACCUGGGCUACACACGUACUACAAUGGCUGGUACAACGGGAAGCGAAGCCGCGAGGUGGAGCCAAUCCUAAAAAGCCAGUCUCAGUUCGGAUUGCAGGCUGCAACUCGCCUGCAUGAAGUCGGAAUUGCUAGUAAUCGCGGAUCAGCAUGCCGCGGUGAAUACGUUCCCGGGUCUUGUACACACCGCCCGUCACACCACGAGAGUUUACAACACCCGAAGUCGGUGGGGUAACCGCAAGGA
Molecule: ribosomal RNA, 317 nt
Filed under: Paenibacillus campinasensis
Lineage: Bacteria; Bacillati; Bacillota; Bacilli; Caryophanales; Paenibacillaceae
Description: bacterial SSU rRNA
Rfam family: Bacterial small subunit ribosomal RNA
Source: RNAcentral